Non-coding RNA from Musa acuminata subsp. malaccensis (wild Malaysian banana), 1372 nucleotides. Lineage: Eukaryota; Viridiplantae; Streptophyta; Magnoliopsida; Zingiberales; Musaceae. The record is from RefSeq and is a predicted model, not a curated record.
GACGUCUUCCUGAUGACAGCGGUGAGGCAGAACUGCAAUUCUGCCAGCAUUAUCGUAUUGUCCUUGAUGUGAAUAAUCAUCAAGAUGAGGGAUAUAUGUUUUUUCUUUUUCUUUCAAGUAACUAAUUCAUCUCUUAUCCUUAAUUACAUGAAUUUCAGAUAUUUAAACAUUUUUUGAAGAACUGGAGGAGGAAUUUUUAAGAGAUGUAAGUGGAGAAGCUAUCCUUUCACUGGUGCAUUAUAGACAUUACAUUGUACGUAUGAGUUACUCAACGAAAUGAUGGACUUUGGUUACCUGCAAUACACUGAAGCUAAGAUUCUCGGUGAGUUUAUUAAGACAGAUGCAUACAAGACAGAAGUUACACAAAGGUCUCUGAUGGCUGUCACAAAUGCAGUGUCUUAGCGCAGUGAAGGGUUGUGAUACAACAAUAAUGAAGUGCUUUUGGCCAUGGUUGAAAGUGUCAAUAUACUUGUCAACAGCAAUUGACAGAUUAUCCAUUCUGAUGUUGUUGGGGCAUCGGAAAUGAGAACAUAUUUGAGGUAAAGCCUCCGAUCUGGGAUGCUCAAGUCAAGAGGCACUCAAGAAGUCACCUACAGAUCAUGGAAAAAGCGAAAAGUCAGUUUUAAGUUUUAGGAAAGGAGCACUGCGACAAACGUGGUAAGUGAGCUGAGCUGCCCGUCACUUCAGAAGCCACCAAUCCUAUCAUAGGUUCUGCUGCAUAUGCACCUGAGAAUGAUGCAUUAGUCUGGAAAAUAAAAUCUUUUCCUGGUGGAAAGGUACGGGAUGUAACUUCUCUUUCCGGAUUAAUAGGAGGUACCAUCAAGUCAAGUUUACAUUUAAACUUUUUUUUCUUCAUGAUUCUUGUGUGAUUCUUUGCUACACGUGGGAGUACAUGUGUCGGGCAGAAUGUAGAAAUGACAGCUGAAGCAGCAGCUCCCGAGAAGAAGGCUUCUCCUAUACGUGUGAAGUUUGAGAUCCUAUAUUUCACUACCUCUGAGAUGCUGGUGUUUUGGUCUUUCGGAGUCUCUAUAUCAAACUACCAUAUGAACCAGUCGUUGAUGCAUCUAUUAUAUUGGUUACCCUGGUCCGGUAUCUCAUAAGUAUCAUAAAGAGUGGAUACCAAGCUUUUCCAUGGGUGAGACACAUCACAGUGGCUGGUGACUAUGAGCGAAGACUCAUCUAGCUCACUACAUUCCUGCCGUCUGGCAUUGGAAAACCAAUAUGCAAGACUAUAGAAGCUUGUACUGUAGUUACUGGAUAAUUUCCAAGUUUGGCGUUGGUAUGUGCAGUAGAAAGGUCAUCUUGCCUUUACUAUCUUAUAUGAAAUUGUUUGCGAGCAUGAAAUGCUAUUCCCAAGAGAAUUAUGUAUUUA